GAAUAAACGUAAUUGUUAAAAACAAGUAAAAAAUGUAAUUUGAAGAAUGUUUUCGGAUUUAUUGAUUAAAACAAGCAGACAAAGGGCGAAAUUAUUAACAUGAUGGUGAUCUCAAGAAAUUUUGAGAACAACAUGGCAAACGACUCUAUUUUAGGAUUGUGGCAAAACGUGUAUCAUUUUUCCUACCAAGUUGGUUCCCAAUCGUAAGUGGAAUCACGAUCGCUUCUCGUGGAAACUGGGGUUCCAAGCUACGGUUUUUUUCGAACAAUAACGAGCGACUUAACGAAUUGCUUGGAUAGAAGACAGAGACGCUGAUGGAAAUGCGGCGUGGAAGGCGUCAGUUUUCGUAAGACUUUUAUUUGUAAAAGCAAUCCGGUGGAAAAAAUUUAUUAUCCAUGUAUUUUAUUCGUAUUAAAUUUCAUUGUUUUUCUUAAAAAUAAUUAACACUUGGGACUCAAUAAUAGUAAUUCUGGAAUAGAAAUGCAUAUUCAGGGAAAUAAUGUCUAUGUACAUAACAAAAUUUUCUAAAAUGCACAAAGGAAUAAAAAUGUUUUGGAAGAUAAAAUAUUAACAUGUCAAGGAUUGGUACAUCACUAUUUGAACAUUUUGAGCAAACAACCCGACCACAGUGGCGACUAUAAUUCAUAAAUAUAAUAAUAAAAGAGCAUUUAGAGAAAAUAAUUUUCAAAGAAUAUUCGAUUUUGCUGCAAUACAACAAAAAAUCAUCGAUAUGCUCUGCAUAUAUAGAUUUAGAAGAUUUUCUGUUACCUUUGAAUUUU
Molecule: long non-coding RNA, 779 nt
Organism: Glossina fuscipes
Lineage: Eukaryota; Metazoa; Arthropoda; Insecta; Diptera; Glossinidae
Exons: 3
Source: RefSeq, a predicted model, not a curated record